UGGCGAUGAUUUGAAUUUAUCCGUGCUUCUAUGAUUAUGAACCAUGAAGCAAAAAGUCAAUGGUUGAAUUGCUUAAUAUAAGCCA
Molecule: small nucleolar RNA, 85 nt
Filed under: Amborella trichopoda
Lineage: Eukaryota; Viridiplantae; Streptophyta; Magnoliopsida; Amborellales; Amborellaceae
Source: RNAcentral